RNAcentral lists this transfer RNA (63 nucleotides) under Polididus armatissimus. RNAcentral describes it as "tRNA-His". The record is from RNAcentral. Lineage: Eukaryota; Metazoa; Arthropoda; Insecta; Hemiptera; Reduviidae.
AUUUAAAUAGUUUAAUAAGAAUAAUAACUUGUGGUGUUAUAGGUACAUUUAAUGUUUUAAAUC